GGGGAAUUUUCCGCAAUGGGCGAAAGCCUGACGGAGCAAUACCGCGUGAGGGAGGAAUGCCUUUGGGUUGUAAACCUCUUUUCUCAGGGAAGAAGAUCUGACGGUACCUGAGGAAUAAGUAUCGGCUAACUCCGUGCCAGCAGCCGCGGUAAUACGGAGGAUGCAAGCGUUAUCCGGAAUCAUUGGGCGUAAAGCGUCCGCAGGUGGUUUCCAAAGUCUGCUGUUAAAGACUGGAGCUCAACUCCGGAACGGCGGUGGAAACUUGGAAACUAGAGUUCGGUAGGGGUAGCAGGAAUUCCCAGUGUAGCGGUGAAAUGCGUAGAUAUUGGGAAGAACAUCGGUGGCGAGGGCGUGCUACUGGACCGUAACUGACACUCAGGGACGAAAGCUAGGGGAGCGAAAGGGAUUAGAUACCCCUGUAGUCCUAGCUGUAAACGAUGGAAACUAGGUGUGGCUUG
This 458-nucleotide ribosomal RNA is filed under the name uncultured marine microorganism. RNAcentral's name for it is "bacterial SSU rRNA". It matches the Rfam family "Bacterial small subunit ribosomal RNA", at positions 356 to 829 of the family's 1533-position model. The record is from RNAcentral.